This 148-nucleotide signal recognition particle RNA is filed under the name Gorilla gorilla gorilla (western lowland gorilla). Its description in RNAcentral is "Metazoan signal recognition particle RNA". It matches the Rfam family "Metazoan signal recognition particle RNA". Rfam says of the family: The signal recognition particle (SRP) is a universally conserved ribonucleoprotein. It is involved in the co-translational targeting of proteins to membranes. Lineage: Eukaryota; Metazoa; Chordata; Mammalia; Primates; Hominidae. The record is from Rfam by way of RNAcentral.
GCCAGGCAUGGUGGUGCACGCCUGUAGUCCCAGUUACUUGGGAGGCUGAGACAGGAGGAUCGCUUGAGCCCAGGAGUUCAAGGCUGCAGUGAACCAUGAUCAUGUCACUGCACUCCAGCCUGGGUGACAGAGUGAGAUUCCGUCCCAA